Molecule: ribosomal RNA, 254 nt
Filed under: uncultured bacterium
Lineage: Bacteria
Description: partial 16S ribosomal RNA
Rfam family: Bacterial small subunit ribosomal RNA
Source: RNAcentral
UACGUAGGUGGCAAGCGUUGUCCGGAAUUAUUGGGCGUAAAGAGCUCGUAGGCGGUGUGUCGCGUCGGCCGUGAAAACCUGCAGCUUAACUGUGGGCUUGCGGUCGAUACGGGCAUCACUGGAGUUCGGCAGGGGAGACUGGAAUUCCUGGUGUAGCGGUGAAAUGCGCAGAUAUCAGGAGGAACACCGGUGGCGAAGGCGGGUCUCUGGGCCGAUACUGACGCUGAGGAGCGAAAGCGUGGGGAGCGAACAGG